This 433-nucleotide ribosomal RNA is filed under the name uncultured bacterium. RNAcentral's name for it is "partial 16S ribosomal RNA". It matches the Rfam family "Bacterial small subunit ribosomal RNA", at positions 29 to 507 of the family's 1533-position model. The record is from RNAcentral.
AACGAACGCUGGCGGCAGGCUUAACACAUGCAAGUCGAGCGAGACCUUCGGGUCUAGCGGCGGACGGGUGAGUAACGCGUGGGAACGUGCCCUUCUCUACGGAAUAGCCCCGGGAAACUGGGAGUAAUACCGUAUACGCCCUUUGGGGGAAAGAUUUAUCGGAGAAGGAUCGGCCCGCGUUGGAUUAGGUAGUUGGUGGGGUAAUGGCCCACCAAGCCGACGAUCCAUAGCUGGUUUGAGAGGAUGAUCAGCCACACUGGGACUGAGACACGGCCCAGACUCCUACGGGAGGCUGCAGUGGGGAAUCUUAGACAAUGGGGGCAACCCUGAUCUAGCCAUGCCGCGUGAGUGAUGAAGGCCUUAGGGUUGUAAAGCUCCUUCAGCUGGGAAGAUAAUGACGGUACCAGCAGAAGAAGCCCCGGCUAACUCCGUG